AAGAUGGUGGGAUCGGUUAGCCUCCUAUGAUACGCGACCAUCUUCAAUGAUAUGUGACCACUUUCAAGGAUAUGAGGCAGGUCUUAAUUAAGUCAGGGGUGUCAAAUCUUUUGUGGGAUAAAAUAUUGUCUGCCAUGAAAUCAUGUUCACCAAACUCAAUGUGAACAUAUUUUGGGUGCGAACGUGUAGGUUGCAAAAAUGAAAGGGGAACGAAUGAGAAUGGGCGCAAACAUGUUUUUGGGCGAACACCAC
This 252-nucleotide long non-coding RNA is filed under the name Mytilus galloprovincialis (Mediterranean mussel). Lineage: Eukaryota; Metazoa; Mollusca; Bivalvia; Mytilida; Mytilidae. The record is from RNAcentral.